Molecule: long non-coding RNA, 294 nt
Organism: Passer domesticus (house sparrow)
Lineage: Eukaryota; Metazoa; Chordata; Aves; Passeriformes; Passeridae
Exons: 3
Source: RefSeq, a predicted model, not a curated record
UUCCCUCUUGCUGAGAGGUGGUGGAGUCAGUUGCAGCGACGGAUUGAAGAUGAAACAAGAAUAACAGAUUGAAGAAUACAGUAGCCAUAGGUAGCUGAAAACCUGCUAGAUUGACAGACAUUUAAUAUACUUCCAUGAUCAAAGUCUACAAGAAAACCCAGACUAGAUAUUUGACAAGUAUUUUUAAAAAAUAUUUGUACGAACACACUUCAACGUUUUCUGCACCACUUUAUCCAGUGAAAGUACCACUUUGUUCGGGCCUUAACAUGGAAUGUGGAGGACUUGUUUGUGAAG